CAGUCAUUGGCCGCUACGAGGUGAUAGAGCAACCAGCUUUGCAACUCCAUCACUGCCGUACCCCACGCCAGCUGAUAAUUGAACAAAAAUUUAUCAGACCCAUAAAAACUAUUUGUCACAAAAAUCUGGGGGCCAAAUUGCGGAAUUUAUCGAUCAAGAGGAGAACAAAAGUCGGUAGUUACACGUAUCGAGUCUAUUGUAAAUUAAUCAACUAAAUUAACGACUAAAUGCAAACGAUUAUUGAGAGAGAAAGACGGACACGUCGAUGAUGAUUUGCGGCUACAAAGAAAUUGUAUCAACUCCGCAGGCUCCUCAUUCUCAACAGGAUAAGUAUUAUAGGUACCAAGUAUAUGUAUCUAUUGCAAUUCGUAUAUACUUAUUGUUAGACGUACAUAUGUACGCGUGUACACGGUAAAUACAUAUAUACAUUAUUUCAUCGCUACAAGAUUCCUCGUCGACACAUACUCACAAAUUGAUACGACACGACCUCGUCAUCAUCAAUUUUGUAAGAACGUUCUCUCGUAAGCCGAUGUACGUAUACUUAUAUCCGAUCGGUUCUCUCCAGUAUAAGAAGCUAUUCUUUUAACUCGAGAGGAAAAAAGAGGAUUCUACAAGAGCAGUUAUUUUUAGAAAAUUCAUAACGACGUAAUAAAAUUUUGAAACUAUUAGUUCAAUCGAAAUUGAAAUGUAUACGUACGUACGUACGUACGUACAUGUGUGUAUACGCGUAUACGCAAUAAUUACAGGCUGCACGUUUUAUUAAAUUAUAAAAAUAUACGCAAAUGUAAUGUACAGUACGAUGUGUAUAUGUAUACCUAUGUAACGCCUUGCUUUAUUCCUAGGUCUAAAAAUCAAUACUACACGCAACACUGCCUAUAUAAUAUUAUUGUACACAGAGGUGCACAAAAGUCAGGAGUACGAGUAGAAGUUUUUUACCCGUUUCUAUUUGGAAAUUUUAUCGACGUGCGCUUCCCUUGAGAUUCGAUAAGACGAUUCCGAUGUAUGUGUAUAU
Molecule: long non-coding RNA, 1012 nt
Organism: Athalia rosae (coleseed sawfly)
Lineage: Eukaryota; Metazoa; Arthropoda; Insecta; Hymenoptera; Athaliidae
Exons: 3
Source: RefSeq, a predicted model, not a curated record